Molecule: signal recognition particle RNA, 100 nt
Filed under: Cohnella faecalis
Lineage: Bacteria; Bacillati; Bacillota; Bacilli; Caryophanales; Paenibacillaceae
Description: Cohnella sp. K2E09-144 signal recognition particle sRNA small type
Rfam family: Bacterial small signal recognition particle RNA
About the family: The signal recognition particle (SRP) is a universally conserved ribonucleoprotein involved in the co-translational targeting of proteins to membranes. Archaeal SRP consists of a 7S RNA and homologues of the eukaryotic SRP19 and SRP54 proteins.
Source: RNAcentral
UACCGCGCCUUGUGCGAGGGACGUCCAUGAAACCGGUCAGGUCCGGAAGGAAGCAGCCGUAAGUGGUCCCGUUCUUGUGCUCAGGGCGAGUGCGCGGUCC